GUGCUCACUCCAGCAGCACAUGUAUUAAAAUUGGAAUGAUGCAGAGAAGAUUAGCAGGGUCUCUAUGCAAGGAUGACACACAAAUUCAUGAAGUGUUCCAUAUUUUC
This is a small nuclear RNA of Sciurus vulgaris (Eurasian red squirrel), 107 nucleotides long. NCBI's taxonomy places the organism in Eukaryota, Metazoa, Chordata, Mammalia, Rodentia, Sciuridae. The record is from Ensembl.